CCCCCCGUAGCUCAGUGGACAGAGCACGCGGUUUCUACCCGCUUGGUCGGGGGUUCAAAUCCCUCCGGGGGGG
This 73-nucleotide transfer RNA is filed under the name Antiquaquibacter soli. Its description in RNAcentral is "tRNA-Arg". It matches the Rfam family "tRNA". Rfam says of the family: Transfer RNA (tRNA) molecules are approximately 80 nucleotides in length. Lineage: Bacteria; Bacillati; Actinomycetota; Actinomycetes; Micrococcales; Microbacteriaceae. The record is from RNAcentral.